ACAGAGAAUGUACUUUUCCCGCAAGGGANCUUUCCGCACAGGUGUUGCAGGGCUGUCNUCAGCUCGUGUCGUGAGAUGUUGGGUUAAGUCCCGCAACGAGCGCAACCCUCGCCUUUAGUUGCCAUCAUUUAGUGGCACUCUAGAGGAACUGCCGGUGACAAGCCGGAGGAAGGUGGGGAUGACGUCAAGUCCUCAUGGCCCUUAUGUCCUGGGCUACACACGUGCUACAAUGGUGGUGACAGUGGGAAGCUAGGCGGUGACGCCGUGCUGAUCUCUAAAAGCCAUCUCAGUUCGGAUUGUACUCUGCAACUCGAGUACAUGAAGGUGGAAUCGCUAGUAAUCGUGGAUCAGCAUGCCACGGUGAAUACGUUCCCGGGCCUUGUACAC
RNAcentral lists this ribosomal RNA (387 nucleotides) under uncultured bacterium. RNAcentral describes it as "bacterial SSU rRNA". It matches the Rfam family "Bacterial small subunit ribosomal RNA", at positions 1000 to 1388 of the family's 1533-position model. The record is from RNAcentral.